This 103-nucleotide microRNA precursor is filed under the name Marmota monax (woodchuck). Lineage: Eukaryota; Metazoa; Chordata; Mammalia; Rodentia; Sciuridae. The record is from RNAcentral.
AGUGGGAUAGCUGGGUCAAAUGGCAGUUCCAUUUCAAGUUUUCUGAGGAAUCUCCAUACUGCUUUCCAUAAUGGUUGCACCAAAUUGUAGUUCCACCAGCAAU